AAUAUUUGACAAUGGGCGCAAGCCUGAUCCAGCCAUGCCGCGUGAGUGAAGAAGGCCCUAGGGUUNUCAAGCUCUUUCACCCGCGANGAUGAUGACGGCAGCGGGAGAAGAAGCACCGGCUAACUCCGUGCCAGCAGCCGCGGUAAUACGGAGGGGGCUAGCGUUGUUCGGAUUUACUGGGCGUAAAGGGCGCGUAGGCGGAUGUUCGCGUCAGAGGAGAAGGACCCGGGCUCAACCUGGGAACUGCCUUUGAAACGGGACAACUUGAGUUCGGGAGAGGGUAGCGGAAUUCCCAGUGUAGAGGUGAAAUUCGUAGAUAUUGGGAAGAACAACGGUGGCGAAGGCGGCUGCCUGGCCCGAUACUGACGCUGAGGCGCGAAAGCGUGGGGAGCAAAC
RNAcentral lists this ribosomal RNA (396 nucleotides) under uncultured bacterium. RNAcentral describes it as "partial 16S ribosomal RNA". It matches the Rfam family "Bacterial small subunit ribosomal RNA", at positions 360 to 773 of the family's 1533-position model. The record is from RNAcentral.